AUGGUUCAAGGAUGAAAGACGGUUUCGGCUGUCACUUACAGAUGGACCCGCGGCGCAUUAGCUAGUUGGUGGGGUAAUGGCUCACCAAGGCGACGAUGCGUAGCCGACCUGAGAGGGUGAUCGGCCACACUGGGACUGAGACACGGCCCAGACUCCUACGGGAGGCAGCAGUAGGGAAUCUUCCGCAAUGGACGAAAGUCUGACGGAGCAACGCCGCGUGAGUGAUGAAGGUUUUCGGAUCGUAAAGCUCUGUUGUUAGGGAAGAACAAGUGCGAGAGUAACUGCUCGCACCUUGACGGUACCUAACCAGAAAGCCACGGCUAACUACGUGCCAGCAGCCGCGGUAAUACGUAGGUGGCAAGCGUUGUCCGGAAUUAUUGGGCGUAAAGGGCUCGCAGGCGGUUUCUUAAGUCUGAUGUGAAAGCCCCCGGCUCAACCGGGGAGGGUCAUUGGAAACUGGGAAACUUGAGUGCAGAAGAGGAGAGUGGAAUUCCACGUGUAGCGGUGAAAUGCGUAGAGAUGUGGAGGAACACCAGUGGCGAAGGCGACUCUCUGGUCUGUAACUGACGCUGAGGAGCGAAAGCGUGGGGAGCGAACAGGAUUAGAUACCCUGGUAGUCCACGCCGUAAACGAUGAGUGCUAAGUGUUAGGGGGUUUCCGCCCCUUAGUGCUGCAGCUAACGCAUUAAGCACUCCGCCUGGGGAGUACGGUCGCAAGACUGAAACUCAAAGGAAUUGACGGGGGCCCGCACAAGCGGUGGAGCAUGUGGUUUAAUUCGAAGCAACGCGAAGAACCUUACCAGGUCUUGACAUCCUCUGACAACCCUAGAGAUAGGGCUUUCCCUUCGGGGACAGAGUGACAGGUGGUGCAUGGUUGUCGUCAGCUCGUGUCGUGAGAUGUUGGGUUAAGUCCCGCAACGAGCGCAACCCUUGAUCUUAGUUGCCAGCAUUCAGUUGGGCACUCUAAGGUGACUGCCGGUGACAAACCGGAGGAAGGUGGGGAUGACGUCAAAUCAUCAUGCCCCUUAUGACCUGGGCUACACACGUGCUACAAUGGACAGAACAAAGGGCUGCAAGACCGCAAGGUUUAGCCAAUCCCAUAAAUCUGUUCUCAGUUCGGAUCGCAGUCUGCAA
Molecule: ribosomal RNA, 1133 nt
Filed under: Bacillus sp. XSW073
Lineage: Bacteria; Bacillati; Bacillota; Bacilli; Caryophanales; Bacillaceae
Description: bacterial SSU rRNA
Rfam family: Bacterial small subunit ribosomal RNA
Source: RNAcentral